Molecule: ribosomal RNA, 497 nt
Filed under: uncultured bacterium
Lineage: Bacteria
Description: partial 16S ribosomal RNA
Rfam family: Bacterial small subunit ribosomal RNA
Source: RNAcentral
GAUGAACGCUGGCGGCGUGCCUAAUACAUGCAAGUCGAGCGAACGGACGAGAAGCUUGCUUUUCUGAUGUUAGCGGCGGACGGGUGAGUAACACGUGGAUAACCUACCUAUAAGACUGGGAUAACUUCGGGAAACCGGAGCUAAUACCGGAUAAUAUUUUGAACCGCAUGGUUCAAAAGUGAAAGACGGUCUUGCUGUCACUUAUAGAUGGAUCCGCGCUGCAUUGGCUAGUUGGUAAGGUAACGGCUUACCAAGGCAACGAUGCAUAGCAGACCUGAGAGGGUGAUCGGCCACACUGGAACUGAGACACGGUCCAGACUCCUACGGGAGGCAGCAGUAGGGAAUCUUCCGCAAAGGGCGAAAGCCUGACGGAGCAACGCCGCGUGAGUGAUGAAGGUCUUCGGAUCGUAAAACUCUGUUAUUAGGGAAGAACAUAUGUGUAAGUAACUGUGCACAUCUUGACGGUACCUAAUCAGAAAGCCACGGCUAACUACGUG